Molecule: transfer RNA, 84 nt
Filed under: Candidatus Moraniibacteriota bacterium
Lineage: Bacteria; Candidatus Moraniibacteriota
Description: tRNA-Leu
Rfam family: tRNA
About the family: Transfer RNA (tRNA) molecules are approximately 80 nucleotides in length. Their secondary structure includes four short double-helical elements and three loops (D, anti-codon, and T loops). Further hydrogen bonds mediate the characteristic L-shaped molecular structure. tRNAs have two regions of fundamental functional importance: the anti-codon, which is responsible for specific mRNA codon recognition, and the 3' end, to which the tRNAs corresponding amino acid is attached (by aminoacyl-tRNA synthetases). tRNAs cope with the degeneracy of the genetic code in two manners: having more than one tRNA (with a specific anti-codon) for a particular amino acid; and 'wobble' base-pairing, i.e. permitting non-standard base-pairing at the 3rd anti-codon position.
Source: RNAcentral
GCCAUGGUGGCGGAAUUGGUAUACGCGCUAGCCUUAGGAGCUAGUGGGAGUAAUCCCUUGAGAGUUCGAGUCUCUCCCAUGGCA